UCAGUACCUAGUAUCGCCAUUAUAAUGCUGUAUUACAUUGUAUUGGCUAUUAUAUGUAUUGGGGUGCGUAUGUGUGGGGUGCGCGUGACGAGUUUUCAACAUGGUCGCUUGCGUGUAUCGUUUGUUUAAUGUCGACAAUAGCGUGUUGUUGAAAUAGUUCUACUCUUUCGAUGCCCCAUCACCUAGAGCAUUCCCACAACAUCACCUGAUUCUUGGAUAUGUCUUAAAUACUUACUACGGUUGUCUUCAAUCGUCUUAUAUCUGUGGCCAUAAAGGUUUACGCUAUCUGUGUUGUUCGACGAACAGCGCCAUGCUUCCACACUGGCUGUCGUACAUGGUGUUCCGCAAACAGAGAUCCAUAACCUAUUUUGCACGUAAACCUUCUUGUGUGAUGAUUACUUGUUCACAAGGUAACUUUCACUUCCACUCUUUUAAUUAUUUAUUGAAUCAACACGUUGUAUAUUCAAACAAUAAUUGGAGUACACAUAAUAAUUUUCCCCUUUUUUUUUUCUUUUAGGUUUUCGCUAUCUGUAUUAUUCGACGAACGGUGUCGCACUUCCUUUUAAUUUAUCCACAAUAUAGUUAAUAACACUUGGUAACCUUGUAUUUUGCACUGAGACAAUUGAAACUAAUUUAUUCACUUAUUUUAGGUAGCUGUCAUACAUUAUGUUC
Molecule: long non-coding RNA, 672 nt
Organism: Bombus huntii
Lineage: Eukaryota; Metazoa; Arthropoda; Insecta; Hymenoptera; Apidae
Exons: 4
Source: RefSeq, a predicted model, not a curated record